Regulatory RNA element from Oxalobacter formigenes, 73 nucleotides. It matches the Rfam family "Fluoride riboswitch aptamer (crcB RNA motif)". Lineage: Bacteria; Pseudomonadati; Pseudomonadota; Betaproteobacteria; Burkholderiales; Oxalobacteraceae. The record is from Rfam.
CAGACUCAAGGUGAUGGUGUUCCACCUUUCCCAACCGCCACGGUUAUUUGUGGCUGAUGACGCCUGAUUUUUU